AUGAGUCUCUUGGUCUGGAACUGUCGUGGGGCUGGCAAAUCCGCGACAGUCAGAGAGCUUCGUGACAUGAUGAGGCAACAUGCCCCCUCGAUUCUUUGUAUCCUUGAAACAUAGAUUGAGGGAUCUCGUGUCAAAAGUUUAGCAGGUUCUUUAGAUUUCAAUAAAAGCUUCACAGUUAGUAGUUCAGGCCGAAGUGGAGGUCUAGGAAUUUUUUGGAAUUGA
This 222-nucleotide ribosomal RNA is filed under the name Triticum aestivum (bread wheat). RNAcentral describes it as "partial small subunit ribosomal RNA". Lineage: Eukaryota; Viridiplantae; Streptophyta; Magnoliopsida; Poales; Poaceae. The record is from RNAcentral.